RNAcentral lists this ribosomal RNA (170 nucleotides) under uncultured Roseospira sp. RNAcentral describes it as "partial 16S ribosomal RNA". Lineage: Bacteria; Pseudomonadati; Pseudomonadota; Alphaproteobacteria; Rhodospirillales; Rhodospirillaceae. The record is from RNAcentral.
GAGGAGGGGAAGCCUGAAUCCAGCCAUGCCGCGGUGGAGUGAUGAAGGCCUUCGGGUUGUAAAGCUCUUUAGGGGAAGAAGGUGACCGCUGCCUAAUAGCAAGAACUCCUUGCUAUUUCCCUGCCAAAAACGCGGAAACGCCUGUGGCCACCAGCCCGGGGUGAUACGGA